GUGGGGAAUAUUGGACAAUGGGCGAAAGCCUGAUCCAGCCAUGCCGCGUGAGUGAUGAAGGCCUUAGGGUUGUAAAGCUCUUUCAGUAGGGAAGAUAAUGACGGUACCUACAGAAGAAGCCCCGGCUAACUUCGUGCCAGCAGCCGCGGUAAUACGAAGGGGGCUAGCGUUGUUCGGAUUUACUGGGCGUAAAGCGCACGUAGGCGGAUUGGUCAGUUAGUGGUGAAAUCCCAGAGCUCAACUCUGGAACUGCCCUUAAUACUGCCAAUCUAGAGUCCGGAAGAGGUGAGUGGAACUCCUAGUGUAGAGGUGGAAUUCGUAGAUAUUAGGAAGAACACCAGUGGCGAAGGCGGCUCACUGGUCCGGUACUGACGCUGAGGUGCGAAAGCGUGGGGAGCAAACAGGAUUAGAUACCCCUGUAGUCC
Molecule: ribosomal RNA, 425 nt
Filed under: uncultured bacterium
Lineage: Bacteria
Description: partial 16S ribosomal RNA
Rfam family: Bacterial small subunit ribosomal RNA
Source: RNAcentral